AUUGAACGCUGGCGGCAGGCCUAACACAUGCAAGUCGAACGGUAACAGGAAGCAGCUUGCUGCUUUGCUGACGAGUGGCGGACGGGUGAGUAAUGUCUGGGAAACUGCCUGAUGGAGGGGGAUAACUACUGGAAACGGUAGCUAAUACCGCAUAACGUCGCAAGACCAAAGAGGGGGACCUUCGGGCCUCUUGCCAUCGGAUGUGCCCAGAUGGGAUUAGCUAGUAGGUGGGGUAACGGCUCACCUAGGCGACGAUCCCUAGCUGGUCUGAGAGGAUGACCAGCCACACUGGAACUGAGACACGGUCCAGACUCCUACGGGUGGCAGCAGUGGGGAAUAUUGCACAAUGGGCGCAAGCCUGAUGCAGCCAUGCCGCGUGUAUGAAGAAGGCCUUCGGGUUGUAAAGUACUUUCAGCGGGGAGGAAGGGAGUAAAGUUAAUACCUUUGCUCAUUGACGUUACCCGCAGAAGAAGCACCGGCUAACUCCGUG
RNAcentral lists this ribosomal RNA (490 nucleotides) under uncultured bacterium. RNAcentral's name for it is "partial 16S ribosomal RNA". It matches the Rfam family "Bacterial small subunit ribosomal RNA", at positions 30 to 507 of the family's 1533-position model. The record is from RNAcentral.